Molecule: ribosomal RNA, 2923 nt
Filed under: Lactiplantibacillus plantarum
Lineage: Bacteria; Bacillati; Bacillota; Bacilli; Lactobacillales; Lactobacillaceae
Description: Lactobacillus plantarum 23S ribosomal RNA
Rfam family: Bacterial large subunit ribosomal RNA
Source: RNAcentral
AGGUUAAGUUAACAAGGGCGCAUGGUGAAUGCCUUGGCACUAGGAGCCGAUGAAGGACGGGACUAACACCGAUAUGCUUCGGGGAGCUGUACGUAAGCUAUGAUCCGGAGAUUUCCGAAUGGGGCAACCCAGCAGUUUUAAUCAACUGUUACCACUAGAUGAAUUCAUAGUCUAGUUGGAGGUAAACGCUGUGAACUGAAACAUCUCAUUAGCAGCAGGAAUAUAAAGAAAUUUCGAUUCCCUAAGUAGCGGCGAGCGAACGGGGAACAGCCCAAACCAAAGUGCUUGCACUUUGGGGUUGUAGGACUGAACAUUUGAGUUACCAAAGAACUUGAUAGUCGAAGGAUUUGGGAAAAUCCGCCAUAGAUGGUGAUAGCCCAGUAGAUUAAAUCAAAUUCUCUCAGUUCAGGAUCCUGAGUACGGCGGAACACGUGAAAUUCCGUCGGAAUCCGGGAGGACCAUCUCCCAAGGCUAAAUACUACCUAGUGACCGAUAGUGAACCAGUACCGUGAGGGAAAGGUGAAAAGCACCCCGGGAGGGGAGUGAAAUAGUUCCUGAAACCAUGUGCCUACAAUAAGUCAGAGCGCGUUAAUGCGUGAUGGCGUGCCUUUUGUAGAAUGAACCGGCGAGUUAUGAUCCCGUGCAAGGUUAAGACUAAAAAGUCGGAGCCGUAGCGAAAGCGAGUCUGAAAUGGGCGUUUUGAGUACGAGGUUAUAGACCCGAAACCAGGUGACCUAUCCAUGUCCAGGUUGAAGGUGCGGUAAAACGCACUGGAGGACCGAACCCGUGUAAGUUGAAAAUUGCUGGGAUGAGGUGUGGAUAGCGGUGAAAUUCCAAACGAACUUGGAGAUAGCUGGUUCUCUCCGAAAUAGCUUUAGGGCUAGCCUCGGAAUUAGGAUCAUGGAGGUAGAGCACUAUUUGGACUAGGGGCCCGUCUUGGGUUACUGAAUUCAGAUAAACUCCGAAUGCCAUUGAUUCAUAUCCGGGAGUCAGACGAUGAGUGAUAAGAUCCACCGUCGAAAGGGGAACAGCCCAGACCAUCAGUUAAGGUCCCUAAAUGUAUGCUAAGUGGAAAAGGAUGUGGAGUUGCAUAGACAACUAGGAUGUUGGCUCAGAAGCAGCCACCAUUUAAAGAGUGCGUAAUAGCUCACUAGUCGAGUGAUCCUGCGCCGAAAAUGUACCGGGGCUAAGCAUACUACCGAAACCAUGGAUGCGACCAUUAGGUCGCGUGAUAGGAGAGCGUUCUAAGGGCGGUGAAGCAAGAUCGUGAGGACUUGUGGAGCGCUUAGAAGUGAGAAUGCCGGUAUGAGUAGCGAAAGAUAGGUGAGAAUCCUAUCCACCGAAUGACUAAGGUUUCCUGGGGAAGGCUCGUCCUCCCAGGGUUAGUCGGGACCUAAGUCGAGGCCGAGAGGCGUAGACGAUGGAUAACAGGUUGAGAUUCCUGUACUAGUUAAGUGCGUUUGAGCAAUGGAGGGACGCAGGAGGCUAAGAUGUGCAUUCUGUUGGAUUAGAAUGUCCAAGCAGUAAGUCUUGUGAAGAGUCAAAUGCUUUUCACUUUAAGGACAAGCUGUGAUGGGGAGCGAAAUUUAGUAGCGAAGCGUCUGAUGUCACACUGCCGAGAAAAGCUUCUAGUGAGUACUUAACUACCCGUACCGCAAACCGACACAGGUAGUCGAGGAGAGAAUCCUAAGGUGAGCGAGUGAACUCUCGUUAAGGAACUCGGCAAAAUGACCCCGUAACUUCGGGAGAAGGGGUGCUGAUCGCAAGAUCAGCCGCAGUGAAUAGGCCCAGGCGACUGUUUAUCAAAAACACAGGUCUCUGCAAAAUCGUAAGAUGACGUAUAGGGGCUGACGCCUGCCCGGUGCUGGAAGGUUAAAAGGAUGGGUUAGCUUCGGCGAAGCUCAGAAUUGAAGCCCCAGUAAACGGCGGCCGUAACUAUAACGGUCCUAAGGUAGCGAAAUUCCUUGUCGGGUAAGUUCCGACCCGCACGAAAGGCGUAACGAUCUGGGCACUGUCUCAACGAGAGACUCGGUGAAAUUAUAUUGUCCGUGAAGAUGCGGACUACCCGCGACAGGACGGAAAGACCCCAUGGAGCUUUACUGUAGCUUGAUAUUGAGUGUUUGUACAGCUUGUACAGGAUAGGUAGGAGCCAUAGAAACCGGAACGCUAGUUUCGGUGGAGGCGUUGGUGGGAUACUACCCUCGCUGUAUGACCACUCUAACCCGCACCACUAAUCGUGGUGGGAGACAGUGUCAGGUGGGCAGUUUGACUGGGGCGGUCGCCUCCUAAAAAGUAACGGAGGCGCCCAAAGGUUCCCUCAGAAUGGUUGGAAAUCAUUCGCAGAGUGUAAAGGCACAAGGGAGCUUGACUGCGAGACAGACAGGUCGAGCAGGGACGAAAGUCGGGCUUAGUGAUCCGGUGGUACCGUAUGGAAGGGCCAUCGCUCAACGGAUAAAAGCUACCCUGGGGAUAACAGGCUUAUCUCCCCCAAGAGUCCACAUCGACGGGGAGGUUUGGCACCUCGAUGUCGGCUCAUCGCAUCCUGGGGCUGUAGUCGGUCCCAAGGGUUGGGCUGUUCGCCCAUUAAAGCGGUACGCGAGCUGGGUUCAGAACGUCGUGAGACAGUUCGGUCCCUAUCCGUCGCGGGCGUAGGAAAUUUGAGAGGACCUGUCCUUAGUACGAGAGGACCGGGAUGGACAUACCUCUGGUGUACCAGUUGUGCCGCCAGGCGCAUCGCUGGGUAGCUACGUAUGGAUGUGAUAAACGCUGAAAGCAUCUAAGUGUGAAACACACCUCGAGAUGAGAUUUCCCAUUCCUUUAUGGAAGUAAGACUCCUGAAAGAUGAUCAGGUAGAUAGGUUAGAAGUGGCAGUGCGGUGACGCAUGAAGCGGACUAAUACUAAUCGGUCGAGGACUUAACCAAG